Molecule: ribosomal RNA, 236 nt
Filed under: Cellulosimicrobium sp. I38E
Lineage: Bacteria; Bacillati; Actinomycetota; Actinomycetes; Micrococcales; Promicromonosporaceae
Description: partial 23S ribosomal RNA
Rfam family: Bacterial large subunit ribosomal RNA
Source: RNAcentral
ACGAACCUCUGGUGUGCCAGUUGUUCCGCCAGGAGCACCGCUGGUUGGCUACGUUCGGAAGGGAUAACCGCUGAAAGCAUCUAAGCGGGAAGCCUGCUUCAAGAUGAGGUUUCCAUACCCUACGGGGUGAGAGGCACCCAGCAGAACACUGGGUCGAUAGGCCGGACGUGGAAGCGGGGACGAAAGACCCGUGCAGCUGACCGGUACUAAUCAGCCGACAACUUCAACACCAACAA